AGAACAGACCCUCCAUUCACCUUUGUUGGACUAGAUGUGUUUGGUGCGUCACCACAAGAAGGACGCAUGGAGGCCUGGCAAACAGUAAGCACUGGGCAGUCAUUUUUACGUGUAUGAGCACGCGCGCCAUACACAUUGAAGUUGUUGAAUCGAUGGAGUCAUCCAGUUUCAUUAACGCUCUUAGAUGCUUCUUUGCAAUUCGGGGACUUGUUAAACAGUUGAGGUCCGACUGCGGAACUAACUUUGUGGGAGCCUGGAAAGAGCUUCAGAUUGACUCCAGAGGUUGCAACAACAAGCAGGUGGCCAACUAUCUCUCAGAUCAGGGCACACUUCACAUAUGGGAGGCAGCUCGGAGAGGAUGAUCCGCAUCACACAUAGGAUCCUUGAUGCAAUGUUCCUCAAGCUCGGGCUUACAAAGCUCACACAUGAGGUCCUGACAACCUAUAUGGCUGAGGUCACUGCUAUUGUCAACUCCAGACCACUUACUUCUGUGCCUACAGAUCCAGAUGAGCCACUUAUCCUUACCCCUGCUAUGCUCUUAACGCAGAAAGUCAGCACACCCCUAGUUCCCCCUGGCAACUUUGAUGAUAGUGACAAGUUCAAGAUUUAGCCAACACAUUCUGGGACAGGUGGAAGAGAGAGUACCUCAGCAGUCUCCAGGGUCGUCAGAAAUGGAGGACAGAAAGGCCAAACCUGAUGGACAGAGAUGUUGUCUUACUUAAAGACAACUUAGUCAAGAGACAUAACUGGCCCAAAGGACUGAUCACAAGAGCUUUUCCUAGUGACAAUGGAAAGGUUAGAAAGGUUGAGGUGAAAAUUGUCAAAGAUGGUGUACCAAAAUUGUUCCUAAGGCCCGUCUCUGAAGUCAUUCUUCUGGUACAAAAGGACUUGGUCAGUGACUUGAUAGCGUAGUUUUGAGUGUGGCAUCUUAAAGGUGCCAAACUCCAGUAUGUUUUUCAUUGCUUUGUGACCCCUAGUGGUUGUAUGGUGAACUGCCUCUUUAACUGUGGAAACAGGAAGUGCUUCACUUCCUCUCCGGAUCUUGCCUGACACAGCCACAUGUUACUGCUGGUUACAAUCUAAUGCCAUCCUCACCAUCAUCUGUAUGGCUAUUUGGGUGCAAGUCUUCCAUGAAGGCCACUGCUGACCAGGCAUCUGGACAGUGGAUGAGUGGACCAGGGUCCUACUUUUUUCUGCGAUCUGAGCUGAUGGCACUGCUGGAUGUCUUCUGAUUGCAAAGGGGAAAAUCAAAUCCUGGUUCUCCUGCAACUUCUUCAAACCUAACAGUGACGAAACCGAGGUCCUGCUCAUAGGCACCAAAUCCCCUUUAAAUAAAUCUGACAGUUUUUCCCUUACCACUGACAACUCCCCAGUUUUCCCCAUCCCUCCGGUCAAGAGUGUGGGUGUGAUCCUCAACAGCACACUUUGAUUUCAAGCUCACAUUAAUAAUGUCACUCGGUUUGCAUACUUCCUUUUACGUAACAUUAAUCGCCUCCGACCGUCUCUCUCACCCACUAGUACAGCCAUUCUCGUUCACACACUGGUUACAUCCCGCAUUGAUUUUUGUUAUUCUCUUUGGUCUUCCUCUCAAGUUCAUAUGUAAACCUCAACUGGUUCAGAACUCAGAAACCGCUGUACCUCACUGACCUCCUUCAUAUCAACACCCUCCCGUACUCUUAGGUCUUCUUCUUCUAUUUACAUCAUCUUCCACCAGACAUCUGCAACAUUGACUUGCUUUCCAUUGUUAAAUUCCGCCUGAAAACACAUCUUUUUGAACUAGCAUAUCCCAAGUGAUCACUAUUUAACAAGUUACAGCAAUCCUUUGUUUCCAAUUGUUUAUGUACCCUGAUUUUAUGCACUGCCGUUAUAGUUGUUGUUAAUUCUAUUGAUUUAUUGUUAUAUUGUUGUUUUAUUAUGUUUUGUGAGGUGACCUUGA
Long non-coding RNA from Micropterus dolomieu (smallmouth bass), 1936 nucleotides. RefSeq lists it as uncharacterized. The record is from RefSeq and is a predicted model, not a curated record. The transcript is spliced from 3 exons. NCBI's taxonomy places the organism in Eukaryota, Metazoa, Chordata, Actinopteri, Centrarchiformes, Centrarchidae.